GAUGAACGUUGGCGGUGUGCCUAAUACAUGCAAGUCGAACGGAGUCAGUAGCAAUAUUGGCUCAGUGGCGAACGGGUGAGUAACGCGUUGGUGAUCUGCCUUGAAGUGUGGAAUAACGUUUCGAAAGAGACGCUAAUACCGCAUGUGCUCUCGAUCUUCAGAAAGUUGAGAGUAAAGGAUUUAUUCGCUUCAAGAGGAGCCUGCGUCCCAUCAGCUGGUUGGUAGGGUAACGGCCUACCAAGGCUAUGACGGGUAGGGGACCUGAGAGGGUCGGCCCCCCACAAUGGAACUGAAACACGGUCCAUACACCUACGGGUGGCAGCAGUAGGGAAUAUUAGAAAUGGACGAAAGUCUGAUCUAGCAACACCGCGUGUGCGAAGAAGGCCUUCGGGUCGUAAAGCACUUUUUGGAAGGAAUAGGAAGGAAUGUACUUCCAGAAUAAGUCUCGGCUAACUACGUGCCAGCAGCCGCGGAAACAUACUCGUA
RNAcentral lists this ribosomal RNA (486 nucleotides) under uncultured bacterium. RNAcentral describes it as "bacterial SSU rRNA". It matches the Rfam family "Bacterial small subunit ribosomal RNA", at positions 28 to 529 of the family's 1533-position model. The record is from RNAcentral.